RNAcentral lists this ribosomal RNA (448 nucleotides) under uncultured bacterium. Its description in RNAcentral is "partial 16S ribosomal RNA". It matches the Rfam family "Bacterial small subunit ribosomal RNA", at positions 329 to 794 of the family's 1533-position model. The record is from RNAcentral.
UUCCAGACUCCUACGGGAGGCAGCAGUGGGGAAUAUUGCACAAUGGGGGAAACCCUGAUGCAGCGACGCCGCGUGAGCGAAGAAGUACCUCGGUAUGUAAAGCUCUAUCAGCAGGGAAGAAGAUGACGGUACCUGACUAGGAAGCCCCGGCUAACUACGUGCCAGCAGCCGCGGUAAUACGUAGGGGGCAAGCGUUAUCCGGAUUUACUGGGUGUAAAGGGAGCGUAGACGGCUGUGCAAGCCAGAUGUGAAAGCCCGGGGCUCAACCCCGGGACUGCAUUUGGAACUGUGUGACUGGAGUGUCGGAGAGGCAGGCGGAAUUCCUAGUGUAGCGGUGAAAUGCGUAGAUAUUAGGAGGAACACCAGUGGCGAAGGCGGCCUGCUGGACGAUGACUGACGUUGAGGCUCGAAAGCGUGGGGAGCAAACAGGAUUAGAUACCCCUGUAGA